GAUAAAAAUAUUGAUUUAUUUUCAUAAAAGUACUGUCAGAGCGUUACACACUUCCAAAAACAACAAAAAUUCAAUAUCUUGUGUAUAAAACAAUAAUCUGUGAGACCGCAAACAUUCAUGUUUUUGCAGGUUUUUUUCUCUCUUAUAUCUGAAUCAAGCUCCUACACAAACAAAAGCACUUACAUGGUUUCUGAAGCACGAGAAAGAAACACUCAGACAAUUGUAUGUAGAAAAAAUAUGCAAACAUUGUUCUUUGUGCACAUUGUUGCAUAUAUCUUGUUGCAUAUGUGGACCAGCUUAAAAUUGGACCUGAAUUUAGUUACAUGUCAGGACUAAAUGCAGACUGAAGUUGUAACUUAUGCAAACAGAACCAUGUCACAUAAAAAUUUAAACCAAACUCAAUGCGAAAUGUGAAGCUAGCAAGGUGUUUCAAUACCUUAAAUUCUGCAAUAAACAUUUCAGCUCCAUCUCUUUAUUCUGACUUAAUCCAACAUGUAUGAGCAAAUAUUAUUCCUGACUGCUGUCUUACAACAUGAACUGUUUUGUGUGUGUGUGUGUGUGUGUGUGUGUGUGGAUAGCUUGUAGGUUGUUUAGAAACCAGCUCUUCUUCAAACUGUGAGAAAUAGCAAACAAAGUAAACCAAAGAGUAACACGGGGGUAAGUGAGUCCUACAGUAAAAAAAAAGCAAACCAGCUUGACGGGAUUUACAGGAAAUGAACCAUGUGUCUUAAGUUAAAGUCUGAGCCACUGAAAGAAAUCAAAAAACAACAUGGUUUAAGAGUUUAGACUUAUGGUCGUAUGAGGGUGAAGCUAAAAUCUGAAUCUGCUGCAGAGAAAACAUAAAUCUAAACUUUAGUUGUUCAAAUUAAUCCUCUUUGUGACAGUGGCUCACAUGCAAAA
Long non-coding RNA from Poecilia latipinna (sailfin molly), 900 nucleotides. RefSeq lists it as uncharacterized. Lineage: Eukaryota; Metazoa; Chordata; Actinopteri; Cyprinodontiformes; Poeciliidae. The record is from RefSeq and is a predicted model, not a curated record. The transcript is spliced from 2 exons.